UAGAGAGGCUGACGGUGACAGCUUGGGCCAU
Molecule: non-coding RNA, 31 nt
Filed under: Homo sapiens (human)
Lineage: Eukaryota; Metazoa; Chordata; Mammalia; Primates; Hominidae
Source: RNAcentral